UUUUCCCUACGGGGGGCAGCAGUGGGGAAUAUUGCACAAUGGGGGAAACCCUGAUGCAGCGACGCCGCGUGAGCGAUGAAGUAUUUCGGUAUGUAAGGCUCUAUCAGCAGGGAAGAAAAUGACGGUACCUGACUAAGAAGCCCCGGCUAACUACGUGCCAGCAGCCGCGGUAAUACGUAGGGGGCAAGCGUUAUCCGGAUUUACUGGGUGUAAAGGGAGCGUAGACGGCGGCGCAAGCCAGAUGUGAAAGCCCGGGGCUCAACCCCGGGACUGCAUUUGGAACUGUGCCGCUAGAGUGUCGGAGG
Molecule: ribosomal RNA, 305 nt
Filed under: uncultured bacterium
Lineage: Bacteria
Description: bacterial SSU rRNA
Rfam family: Bacterial small subunit ribosomal RNA
Source: RNAcentral